GGCUUUUUGAUUAUAAUUUAAGGUCUAACCUGCCCAAUGAUUUAUUAAAUGGCCGCAGUAUAUUGACUGUGCAAAGGUAGCAUAAUCAUUAGUUUUUUAAAUGAAAGCUUGUAUGAAAGGUUUAAUGAGAAAAAUACUGUCUCUAUCUAAAUAUAUUAGAAUUUUAUUUUUAAGUUAAAAAGCUUAAAUAUUUAUUGAAGACGAGAAGACCCUAUAGAAUUUUAUAUUUUUGUUAAAUUUAUUUAGUUUAGAAUUUUAUAAAUAUUUUUAAUAAAAGUAUUUAGUUGGGGUGAUGAAAAAAUUUAUUUAACUUUUUUUUUAUUUAAACAUGAAUUAAUGAAUAUUUGAUCCUUUAAGUAUAAAGAUAAAAAGAAAAAAUUACCUUAGGGAUAACAGCGUAAUUUUUUUUAGAGUUCUUAUCAAAAAAAAAGAUUGCGACCUCGAUGUUGGAUUAAAAUAAAUUAUUGGUGUAGAAGCUAAUAUUUUAGGUCUGUUCGACCUUUAAAUUUUUACAUGAUCUGAGUUUAAACCGGUGUGA
This 538-nucleotide ribosomal RNA is filed under the name Onyxacalles portusveneris. RNAcentral describes it as "partial 16S ribosomal RNA". The stretch from base 389 to 538 matches the Rfam family "Bacterial large subunit ribosomal RNA", at positions 2473 to 2624 of the family's 2925-position model. The record is from RNAcentral. Lineage: Eukaryota; Metazoa; Arthropoda; Insecta; Coleoptera; Curculionidae.